UGUGAUUUUUUUGCCAUGUCUUUGUAUCUUUUACUUGAGUUUUUUUUAAUCAUAGUUUGACUGUCAUAGGUUUCGAUUUUAGUUUAUGUGAAGGAUUUAGGCUUCUAUCUUAUCAAAGUUGCAUACUUUUUUGAUUGUUGGUUUGUGGUAACCGAUCUCUUGUACCUGUUGUUGUUUCUCGUGACAUUGAGGGAGAAUGGAUUCGUAUUUGAUUGGGUAUUGACAUCUAUAAAGCAUGUAAAGUAUGUGGUUUGCAUUUUUGUAUGUCUUAGGUGAUUUUGUUUGAUUUAUUUUCACUAGUAUGUCUGUCUUUGGACUAUUGUUUUAUGAUUAAAAGUAGCAUGAAUAUUGAUUGUUGUGAUUGUAUUUGUUUCCUUGUGCAUUGUUCUCAGACACCUCGAGCUUUUC
RNAcentral lists this long non-coding RNA (408 nucleotides) under Brassica napus (rape). RNAcentral describes it as "long non-coding RNA (BNAP_LNC017966)". Lineage: Eukaryota; Viridiplantae; Streptophyta; Magnoliopsida; Brassicales; Brassicaceae. The record is from RNAcentral.